This 469-nucleotide ribosomal RNA is filed under the name uncultured Syntrophus sp. RNAcentral describes it as "bacterial SSU rRNA". It matches the Rfam family "Bacterial small subunit ribosomal RNA", at positions 337 to 797 of the family's 1533-position model. Lineage: Bacteria; Pseudomonadati; Thermodesulfobacteriota; Syntrophia; Syntrophales; Syntrophaceae. The record is from RNAcentral.
UCCUACGGGUGGCAGCAGUGAGGAAUAUUGCGCAAUGGGGGCAACCCUGACGCAGCAACGCCGCGUGAGUGAGGAAGGUUUUCGGACCGUAAAGCUCUGUCGAGCGGGAAGAAAUGCAUGGUGGCUAAUAUCCAUCAUGCUUGACGGUACCGCUAGAGGAAGCACCGGCUAACUCCGUGCCAGCAGCCGCGGUAAUACGGGGGGUGCAAGCGUUGUUCGGAAUUAUUGGGCGUAAAGAGCGUGUAGGCGGCUGAAUAAGUCAGAUGUGAAAUCCCUGGGCUUAACCCAGGACGUGAAUUUGAAACUAUUCAGCUUGAGUAAGGGAGAGGAAAGUGGAAUUCCUGGUGUAGAGGUGAAAUUCGUAGAUAUCAGGAGGAACACCGGUGGCGAAGGCGACUUUCUGGCCCUAUACUGACGCUGAGACGCGAGAGCGUGGGUAGCAAACAGGAUUAGAUACCCGAGUAGUCUG